RNAcentral lists this long non-coding RNA (268 nucleotides) under Vigna radiata. Its description in RNAcentral is "long non-coding RNA (VRAD_LNC018631)". Lineage: Eukaryota; Viridiplantae; Streptophyta; Magnoliopsida; Fabales; Fabaceae. The record is from RNAcentral.
AAAAAAUAUUUUUGUUUCUUUAUAUCGUUGUUCUUGGGAUAGUUAAACAUUUUGCAAACCACAUCUUUAUUCGCGCAUUUAAUUAAAGGUACUGCCUUCGGGCAGGCGUUGUAGGGUGCUAAUACCUUCCCUUCGCGUAACUGACUACCGAACCCAAUCUUUGGUUUUCGUGGACCGUGUCUUCUCUUUAUGGUUUUUUCCAUAGUUUUCCAGAAUAAACUAUGGUGGCGACUCCAAAAUUUCUUAACCAUUUUUCUCUUUGGAUCGU